This 277-nucleotide ribosomal RNA is filed under the name uncultured prokaryote. RNAcentral describes it as "partial 16S ribosomal RNA". It matches the Rfam family "Bacterial small subunit ribosomal RNA", at positions 524 to 800 of the family's 1533-position model. The record is from RNAcentral.
UACGUAGGUGGCAAGCGUUAUCCGGAAUUAUUGGGCGUAAAGAGCGCGCAGGUGGUUGAUUAAGUCUGAUGUGAAAGCCCACGGCUUAACCGUGGAGGGUCAUUGGAAACUGGUCGACUUGAGUACCAGAGGGGAAAGUGGAAUUCCCGGUGUAGAGGUGAAAUGCGUAGAUAUCGGGAGGAACACCAGUGGCGAAGGCGACUUCCUGGCACAAUACUGACGCUCAUGUGCGAAAGCUAGGGUAGCGAACGGGAUUAGAUACCCCGGUAGUCCCUGA